UGAAACAGGGGGAUAGCUUCCGGAAACGGGGAUUAAUACCGCAUACGAUUCAUUUGUGGCCUCACAAAUGGAUAAAAGCUACGGCGGUUUCAGAUGGCCAUGCGUACCAUUAGUUAGUUGGUGAGGUAAAGGCUCACCAAGGCGAUGAUGGUUAGGGGUCCUGAGAGGGUAGUCCCCCACACUGGUACUGAGACACGGACCAGACUCCUACGGGAGGCAGCAGUGAGGAAUAUUGGUCAAUGGGCGCUAGCCUGAACCAGCCAUGCCGCGUGCAGGAAGACGGCCCUACGGGUUGUAAACUGCUUUUCUGCAGGAAGAAUAUAUAGUCUUAGGGGUAUAUUGACGGUACUGCAGGAAUAAGCAUCGGCUAACUCCGUGCCAGCAGCCGCGGUAAUACGGAGGAUGCAAGCGUUAUCCGGAUUCAUUGGGUUUAAAGGGUGCGCAGGCUGUAAGGCAAGUCAGUGGUGAAAGCCCUGGGCUUAACUCAGGGAUUGCCAUUGAAACUGUUUUACUAGAGUGUAGUAGAGGACGGCGGAAUGAGUUGUGUAGCGGUGAAAUGCAUAGAUAUAACUCAGAACACCUAUUGCGUAGGCAGCUGUCUAUACUACAACUGACGCUGAGGCACGAAAGCGUGGGGAGCGAACAGGAUUAGAUACCCUGGUAGUCCACGCUGUAAACGAUGAUCACUCG
This 690-nucleotide ribosomal RNA is filed under the name uncultured organism. Its description in RNAcentral is "bacterial SSU rRNA". It matches the Rfam family "Bacterial small subunit ribosomal RNA", at positions 131 to 819 of the family's 1533-position model. The record is from RNAcentral.